RNAcentral lists this ribosomal RNA (460 nucleotides) under uncultured bacterium. RNAcentral's name for it is "partial 16S ribosomal RNA". It matches the Rfam family "Bacterial small subunit ribosomal RNA", at positions 338 to 795 of the family's 1533-position model. The record is from RNAcentral.
CCUACGGGUGGCAGCAGUGAGGAAUAUUGGUCAAUGGGCGUAAGCCUGAACCAGCCAAGUCGCGUGAGGGAUGAAGGUUCUAUGGAUUGUAAACCUCUUUUAUAAGGGAAUAAAGUGCGGGACGUGUCCCAUUUUGUAUGUACCUUAUGAAUAAGGAUCGGCUAACUCCGUGCCAGCAGCCGCGGUAAUACGGAGGAUCCGGGCGUUAUCCGGAUUUAUUGGGGUUAAAGGGUGCGUAGGCGGCCUUUUAAGUCAGCGGUGAAAGUCUGGGGCUCAACCGUGGAAUUGCCGUUGAAACUGGGGGGCUAGAGUAUGUUAGAGGCAGGCGGAAUGCGUGGUGUAGCGGUGAAAUGCUUAGAUAUCACGCAGAACCCCGAUUGCGAAGGCAGCCUGCCAAGCCAUGACUGACGCUGAUGCACGAAAGCGUGGGGAUCAAACAGGAUUAGAUACCCCUGUAGUC